This 465-nucleotide ribosomal RNA is filed under the name uncultured bacterium. RNAcentral describes it as "partial 16S ribosomal RNA". It matches the Rfam family "Bacterial small subunit ribosomal RNA", at positions 338 to 795 of the family's 1533-position model. The record is from RNAcentral.
CCUACGGGGGGCAGCAGUAGGGAAUCUUCCACAAUGGGCGAAAGCCUGAUGGAGCAACGCCGCGUGGGUGAAGAAGGUCUUCGGAUCGUAAAACCCUGUUGUUAGAGAAGAAAGUGCGUGAGAGUAACUGUUCACGUUUCGACGGUAUCUAACCAGAAAGCCACGGCUAACUACGUGCCAGCAGCCGCGGUAAUACGUAGGUGGCAAGCGUUAUCCGGAUUUAUUGGGCGUAAAGGGAACGCAGGCGGUCUUUUAAGUCUGAUGUGAAAGCCUUCGGCUUAACCGGAGUAGUGCAUUGGAAACUGGGAGACUGGAGUGCAGAAGAGGAGAGUGGAACUCCAUGUGUAGCGGGGAAAUGCGUAGAUAUAUGGAAGAACACCAGUGGCGAAAGCGGCUCUCUGGUCUGUAACUGACGCUGAGGUUCGAAAGCGUGGGUAGCAAACAGGAUUAGAUACCCCUGUAGUC